AGAGUUUGAUCAUGGCUCAGGACGAACGCUGGCGGCGUGGAUUAGGCAUGCAAGUCGAACGGUAUAAACCUUUCGGGGUUUAGAGAGUGGCGAACGGGUGAGUAACACGUAGGUAAUCUACCCUCAAAACGGGGACAACCCAGGGAAACUUGGGCUAAUACCGGAUGCGUGCAAGCAAUGUUUUGGCUGUUAAUGCUAUUCACGGAAGUGAGUAGUGUUAAUGGUUGAGAGCAUUAUUUGCAUAAAAGGUGGCAUAUGCUGCCGUUUGAGGAUGAGCCUGCGUCCUAUUAGUUAGUUGGUGAGGUAAUGGCUUACCAAGGCGAUGAUAGGUAGGCGGCCUUAACGGGUGGUCGCCCACACUGGGAUUGAGAGACGGCCCAGACUCCUACGGGAGGCAGCAGUCGAGAAUAGUCUACAAUGGACGGAAGUCUGAUAGUGCGACGCCGCGUGAACGAAGAAUCCCUUCGGGGUGUAAAGUUCUUUUAUACGUGAGCAGUGCCCUUUAUAUGAAUAGUAUAGAGGGAGGGAUUUAAGCGUAUGAAUAAGCAACGGCUAACUCCGUGCCAGCAGCCGCGGUAACACGGGGGUUGCAAGCGUUGUCCGGAAUUACUAGGCGUAAAGUGCAGGUAGGCGGAUAGAUAAGUUUAAGGUUAAAGGCUACGGCUUACCCGUAGUAAGGCGUUAGAUACUGUUUAUCUGGAAUGCGGUUGAGGGAGACAGAAUUCCUGGUGUAGCGGUGGAAUGCGCAGAGAUCAGGAGGAAUACCGAAGGCGAACGCAGUCUUCUAAGCCGAUAUUGACGCUAAACUGCGAAGGUGUGGGGAUCAAACAGGAUUAGAUACCCUGGUAGUCCACACAGUAAACGAUAAUCACUAGGUGUUGGGUUCGUAUAGGACUCGGUGCCGGAGCUAACGCGAUAAGUGAUUCGCCUGGGGGAGUACGAUCGCAAGGUGAAACUCAAAUGAAUUGACGG
This 972-nucleotide ribosomal RNA is filed under the name bacterium enrichment culture clone B4136. RNAcentral's name for it is "bacterial SSU rRNA". It matches the Rfam family "Bacterial small subunit ribosomal RNA", at positions 8 to 916 of the family's 1533-position model. The record is from RNAcentral.